AGAGCAAGGAGCAGCCAUGCUGGGAAAGGAGGUAGGACUGCGAGGAUCCCAGCACCAGGGGCAUGGCCUAGCACCCCAUACUUCCACCCCUGUGACAAAGGACCACGUGGGAAGGAAUGAAGUCUGCAUGUGUCCCCACCAGUGAGUUUGGAGCCCUGAGUGUUCUCUUAAGAUGUCUUAACAUCUCUGAGAACAUUCCUAGUGAAGAACAAUCUCUUCUCAGACAUUUUCCAAAGAAGACAGACGGCCAACAGACACUUGAAAAGAUGCUUGACAUCACUCAUCAUCAGGGAAAUACAAAUCAAAACCACAAUGA
Lutra lutra (Eurasian river otter) is the source of this 316-nucleotide long non-coding RNA. RefSeq lists it as uncharacterized. Lineage: Eukaryota; Metazoa; Chordata; Mammalia; Carnivora; Mustelidae. The transcript has 3 exons. The record is from RefSeq and is a predicted model, not a curated record.